This 841-nucleotide long non-coding RNA is filed under the name Equus caballus (horse). RNAcentral's name for it is "lncRNA (ENSECAG00000054715.1)". The record is from RNAcentral. Lineage: Eukaryota; Metazoa; Chordata; Mammalia; Perissodactyla; Equidae.
CUGUCACCUCCUUGAGGGCAGAUCCACAGCUUCCUUCUCUGCAGCCCCGUCCACAGCAUCUGUUGUUUCUGAUGGGACUUCGCGGGCACCUGCAGGAAGGGCGGCUGCUGUGGAUGGUACGUGCUGGACGCCAGGCCAACCCUUUGCACAUGUGAUCUCAUCGACUCUCACAUCGACCGUGGAAGGUGGACAAACUGAGGCUCAGCACUGAGGUCGGCUGCCAAAGACACACAGCAGCUAAACAGUGGAGCCAGGACAUGGAGCCAGGACAUGAACCCAGGGCCUGUGGCUCCGGAGCCUGCAUUCCCAACCACCCUCCCGGACGGCGCUUCCCAGCUGAAGGCGAGGGCCACAGGCCUGCAGCAGCCGUGAACGCCCACCUGAGGCCCUCCUGGCUGUGGGGCUUCAUGUGCACCAUUGUGAGGGCGCUGAGGCUCGCCGGGGGUCAAUAGACUGCCCAAGGUCACCCGGAGAGAGAGCACGGAGGCUGGAAUUUGCAUCCAGGCCCUUGACUCUGAAGUCUUUGAAGCACACCCACGAUGCCAGGACGUCAUGUUCCACCUGGACGGUACUUGCCCUGUUGGCCGCCCACAUGUGGCUAAGCUACACGCAGGCGUAGGAGGGGGCUGGCCGGCACAGAAUUCAGUGUCCCAGAAAGGGCCUGAUCCCAAGGGCCUUCAGUCUGUCAACAGCUAUUUAUCAAACACCUAAUGUGUACAUUGCCCUGCAGAUGCACCAAUGAUCAGGAAACACACAGUGGGCCCACACGGGGCUUUCAGGUGCAGGUGACAGAUCUCGUGGAGGACGGCGCAAGCAAGCUGACAGUCACUGGCGGCUAUUG